Molecule: ribosomal RNA, 301 nt
Filed under: uncultured bacterium
Lineage: Bacteria
Description: partial 16S ribosomal RNA
Rfam family: Bacterial small subunit ribosomal RNA
Source: RNAcentral
CAGUCGCCACGGGAAUACGUAGGUGGCGAGCGUUGUCCGGAAUUAUUGGGCGUAAAGGGAGCGCAGGCGGACAUAUAAGUCCAUCUUAAAAGUGCGGGGCUCAACCCCGUGAGGGGAUGGAAACUGUAUGCCUUGAGUGCAGGAGAGGAAAGCGGAAUUCCCAGUGUAGCGGUGAAAUGCGUAGAUAUUGGGAGGAACACCAGUGGCGAAGGCGACUCUCCGGUCUGUAACUGACGCUGAGGAGCGAAAGCGUGGGGAGCGAACAGGAUUAGAUACCCCUGUAGUCCCUGUCUCUUAUACA